GGAUGUGAUAGCAAUCUGGCUGCAACAUCUGUCACCUCAUUGAUCACCAGGAUAGAUUCAGCUGAGCUGGCUGGCUAAGCAGAUGUCCCUUCCUCCGUCAUUGCUCCAUGUGUGUCUCUCGAAGCUGUAUGACCUUCUCCAAACAGAGGAGGACCAGUCUUCAGUCAAGGGUAGCUCCGCUCCCCUGCUAGAACCUCUAAACAAAUACUACAACAAGAAAAAAAAAUGUCCUCUUUUGUUCUUU
This 244-nucleotide small RNA is filed under the name Meriones unguiculatus (Mongolian gerbil). Its description in RNAcentral is "7SK RNA (ENSMUGG00000009965.1)". It matches the Rfam family "7SK RNA", at positions 1 to 248 of the family's 331-position model. From Rfam's summary of the family: 7SK was discovered as an abundant small nuclear RNA in the mid-70s but a possible function has only recently been suggested. Two independent studies have found that 7SK RNA binds the CDK9/cyclin T complex (known as elongation factor P-TEFb). Lineage: Eukaryota; Metazoa; Chordata; Mammalia; Rodentia; Muridae. The record is from RNAcentral.